Molecule: long non-coding RNA, 1199 nt
Organism: Cyprinus carpio (common carp)
Lineage: Eukaryota; Metazoa; Chordata; Actinopteri; Cypriniformes; Cyprinidae
Source: Ensembl
CUUUAGAUCAGAAUGAGGAUGUCUUGGUGAUUUGAAUCAAAACCGCAAAAACAGACUGUACUUGUCCACUCGCCUUCUCAUCUCUGAAAGUCUCUAUGAGUCUUUCCUAUUACGAGAACGUCUGUAAAUAUUACCUUCUUACAGCAACUGAACAAUGUGUCAGGAUCAAAACAAGAGAGAGGAACUUUAUGGAUUGAGCUCAGCUAUAAGAAAAAGAAAACAGGACAGAGUGAGCCAGCAGGGACAUAUAAGAGAAAUGUUUGACUUGAAGAACACGAUGUGUUUUCCCAAAGAGGUUUAUGGAAGGAAGCUUCAGUCGCAUACUCAUGUAAGUCUGAGUACAUUUACUCAUUUAUUAAAUUUACUGCUCUUCAUUUCAUCACCUCAUUAUUGGAUCAAACAUCACACGCAUGCCUGCUAAAAAGAACAUCUUAAUUUUAUUAUUAGAUAUCAAACUUAAUUAUUUAAGUAAACUAGCUCAAUACUUUGUGGUCUAACCAAUGAAAUGAGAAAGAAAACUAAGCUGUUGUUAUAUCUGUUAUUGAUUAAUUAAAGUCUAGUCAUGACAGACAGAUGGUUUUCAGAUACAGUAAGUCAGAAUCAUGUUUAAUAUUAAUUAAGGUGAAAAUUCAGUAGAAGGUCAGAGGUCUUGAAUAUAUUGAAGUAAAUAUGAGAAAUAUAUAUGAAUAUCUUGUGGUUAAGCAUAGGAGUUUAUGAUACUCUGUUGAAAAAUACAUUUUUCAACCUAAUUUCAGAAAUAUUUAAAUGCAGUAUAGACCCAGACACACACACACACACACACACACACACACACACACACAUAUAAAAAUAACAUCACCCCACCACACACAACAUCGCAUUGUGAGGCCAGUGUAGGCAAGAUAUGGGCUUGAUUAAUACACGGGUUUGUUCAUGGGUUGCAUGUUGGCUAUUUGAAUUAGCCCCAGCUGGUUAUGUCCUUUAUAAUCAGGUAAGUUUGAUGAAUUCUGAAUGAAAUUCUAUUUGGACAAACAUGUUAGACUUCUCAGCAAUGAAGAUCUAAGGUAGUUUGUUGCUUGUUUUUGCUUUUGGCUAUUGCUUUACUAAUUAUAACAUAUUUAGGGAUGAGUUUAGAAUUGACAGAAUAAUGAUCCAGCAUCCAACAUAUUAUAAGGAAAACAAAUAUUAAUAAAUAAAUAUUAAUUUACCUAAAAAAAACA